UACGUAGGGUGCAAGCGUUAAUCGGAAUUACUGGGCGUAAAGCGUGCGCAGGCGGUUAUGUAAGACAGAUGUGAAAUCCCCGGGCUCAACCUGGGAACUGCAUUUGUGAAUGCAUAGCUAGAGUACGGUAGAGGGGGAUGGAAUUCCGCGUGUAGCAGUGAAAUGCGUAGAUAUGCGGAGGAACACCGAUGGCGAAGGCAAUCCCCUGGACCUGUACUGACGCUCAUGCACGAAAGCGUGGGGAGCAAACAGG
Molecule: ribosomal RNA, 253 nt
Filed under: uncultured bacterium
Lineage: Bacteria
Description: partial 16S ribosomal RNA
Rfam family: Bacterial small subunit ribosomal RNA
Source: RNAcentral